This 85-nucleotide transfer RNA is filed under the name Paenibacillus roseus. RNAcentral describes it as "tRNA-Tyr". It matches the Rfam family "tRNA". From Rfam's summary of the family: Transfer RNA (tRNA) molecules are approximately 80 nucleotides in length. Their secondary structure includes four short double-helical elements and three loops (D, anti-codon, and T loops). Further hydrogen bonds mediate the characteristic L-shaped molecular structure. tRNAs have two regions of fundamental functional importance: the anti-codon, which is responsible for specific mRNA codon recognition, and the 3' end, to which the tRNAs corresponding amino acid is attached (by aminoacyl-tRNA synthetases). tRNAs cope with the degeneracy of the genetic code in two manners: having more than one tRNA (with a specific anti-codon) for a particular amino acid; and 'wobble' base-pairing, i.e. permitting non-standard base-pairing at the 3rd anti-codon position. Lineage: Bacteria; Bacillati; Bacillota; Bacilli; Caryophanales; Paenibacillaceae. The record is from RNAcentral.
CGGGCAGAUGGCUGAGUGGUCUAAGGCGACCGACUGUAAAUCGGUUGAAUUUCUUCAUCGUAGGUUCAAAUCCUACUCUUCCCAA